This 186-nucleotide unclassified non-coding RNA is filed under the name uncultured Agaricales. Its description in RNAcentral is "sequence contains ITS2". The record is from RNAcentral. Lineage: Eukaryota; Fungi; Basidiomycota; Agaricomycetes; Agaricales.
AAGUUCUCAACCACACAUACUACAUAUGUGGCUUGGAUGUGGGGGUGUGUAGGCUUCCCAGCUUGAAGUCUGCUCCCCUGAAAUGCAUUAGUGGUGUCUGAGCUACUACUACUAGAUGUGAUAAUUAUCUACAUCGAAAAACGUAUGCUUGCAGCAGCUGCUUCAAAUUUCAUAUGAAUUUGAUGA